UUUAAGUUUGACCCCCCGAAACUAGGUGAGCUACUUAAAAACAGCCUUCUGGGCCAACCCGUCUCUGUUGCAAAAGAGUGGGAAGAUUUUUUAGUAGAGGUGAUAAACCUACCGAACCUAGAGAUAGCUGGUUAUUCAGGAAAAGGAUUUAAGUCCUACCUUAGGUUUUUGUACAACACAAGUAUCCCAAAACCUUAAGAGCUAUUCAAAUAAGGUACAGCCUAUUUGAAACAGGAUACAACCUCACCAAUUGGGUAAUACAUUUUAACAUCAAUUAAGUGGGCCUAAAAGCAGCCACCUUCAAAAAAGCGUUAAAGCUUCAUUGGUCUUUAUAAAAAUUCCUUUAAUUCUUUACAACCCCUAAUCUGUACUGAAUGGUCUCAUGACUUCAUGAGAGCCUAUAUGUUAGAACUAGUAACAAGAAGAAGCCCUUCUCCAAAAUGUAAGCAUGAGCCAAAACGAACAAUUCAUCGGCAUUUAAAGUUAAUAAUCCCCUAGUAGUAACUUUUCGAGAAAAACCUACUAUAUUUAACGUCAACCUUACACCAGCUCAUUUAUGGAAAGAUUAAAAGACUAGGAAGGAACUCGGCAAAUAACUAACCCCGCCUGUUUACCAAAAACAUCGCCUCCUGAUUUCCAUAGGAGGUCCAGCCUGCCCAGUGACAAAGUUAAACGGCCGCGGUACCCUAACCGUGCAAAGGUAGCGCAAUCACUUGUUCUUUAAAUGAGGACUAGUAUGAACGGCAUCACGAGGGUUAUGCUGUCUCCCUACUUUAUUCAGUGAAACUGAUCUCCCCGUGAAGAAGCGGGGAUAAAAAUAUAAGACGAGAAGACCCCAUGGAGCUUUAAACUCAGUAUCAACUGCCAUAAUUAAAACCUAAUACCCAAGCAGUAUAUGACUACUAGUUUUCGGUUGGGGUGACCACGGAGUAAAACCUAACCUCCAUGAUGAAAGGAAAUGAUAACCUAAAUUAAGAGCCACAACUCUAAAUAUCAUAAAAUUGACUAAAUUGAUCCAAUUGAUUGAUCAACGAACCAAGUUACCCUGGGGAUAACAGCGCAAUCCAUUUCAAGAGCUCUUAUCGACAAAUGGGUUUACGACCUCGAUGUUGGAUCAGGGUAUCCCAGUGGCGCAGCCGCUACUAACGGUUCG
This 1153-nucleotide ribosomal RNA is filed under the name Microhyla sp. n VCH-2020. RNAcentral's name for it is "partial large subunit ribosomal RNA". It matches the Rfam family "Bacterial large subunit ribosomal RNA", at positions 700 to 2575 of the family's 2925-position model. Lineage: Eukaryota; Metazoa; Chordata; Amphibia; Anura; Microhylidae. The record is from RNAcentral.